UUUCUUAGGAAAAGUAAGAGAGAAAAAUGAGGAUGGUUUUGACUUGUUUGUUUGACUUAGGUAACUGUAUCACUCUGUUCUUUUCUUUAAUUGAUUUUCUCUUAACAUGCAAAGGAGAAAAGAAAAAACUUAAAAAUUCCUUUAUAAAUACCUUAAAAUCUUCCCUUGGAUACCCUCAAAAUCAUCUUUUCAUUUUUAACAUUCAA
This 206-nucleotide long non-coding RNA is filed under the name Gossypium raimondii (Peruvian cotton). RNAcentral describes it as "long non-coding RNA (GRAI_LNC004440)". The record is from RNAcentral. Lineage: Eukaryota; Viridiplantae; Streptophyta; Magnoliopsida; Malvales; Malvaceae.